CAAUAGCGUAUAUUUAAGUUGCUGCAGUUAAAAAGCUCGUAGUUGGAUUUCGGGUGGGAAUGGCCGGUCCGCCGUUUCGGUGUGCACUUGCUACGCCCACCUUGCUGCCGGGGACGUGCUCUUGGGUUCACGCUCGGGACACGGAGUCGGCGAGGUUACUUUGAGUAAAUUAGAGUGUUCAAAGCAGGCCUACGCUCUGAAUACAUUAGCAUGGAAUAACACGAUAGGACUCUGGCCUAUCUUGUUGGUCUGUAGGACCGGAGUAAUGAUUAAGAGGGACAGUCGGGGGCAUUCGUAUUUCAUUGUCAGAGGUGAAAUUCUUGGAUUUAUGAAAGACGAACUACUGCGAAAGCAUUUGCCAAGGAUGUUUUCAUUAA
Molecule: ribosomal RNA, 377 nt
Filed under: uncultured eukaryote
Lineage: Eukaryota
Description: partial 18S ribosomal RNA
Rfam family: Eukaryotic small subunit ribosomal RNA
Source: RNAcentral